AUUGAACGCUGGCGGCGUGCUUAACACAUGCAAGUCGAACGUGAAAUGUAGCAAUACAGAGUAAAGUGGCGUACGGGUGAGUAACACGUGGGUAAUCUACCAAAGAGCCUGGAAUAACCGACCGAAAGGUUGGCUAAUACUGGAUAGUUCAAAUGAAAUAUAAUGUUUCGAUUGGGAAAGGGAGCGAGCAAUCGCCUUCACUUUUUGAUGAGCCCGCGUCUGAUUAGCUAGUUGGUAGGGUAAUGGCCUACCAAGGCGACGAUCAGUAGCUGGUCUGAGAGGAUGAUCAGCCACACGGGAACUGAAGCACGGUCCAGACUCCUACGGGAGGCAGCAGUGGGGAAUCUUGCGCAAUGGACGAAAGUCUGACGCAGCCACGCCGCGUGAGUGAAGAAGGCCUUCGGGUUGUAAAGCUCUGUCGGAAGGGACAAAAACGUUUAAGGUUAAUAGCCUUAGAUCUUGAUGGUACCUUCAAAGGAAGCACCGGCUAACUUCGUGCCAGCCGCCGCGGUAA
This 514-nucleotide ribosomal RNA is filed under the name uncultured bacterium. RNAcentral describes it as "partial 16S ribosomal RNA". It matches the Rfam family "Bacterial small subunit ribosomal RNA", at positions 30 to 523 of the family's 1533-position model. The record is from RNAcentral.